AGUUUGGUCCCUAUCUGCUGUGGGCGUUGGAGAUUUGACGGGGGCUGCUCCUAGUACGAGAGGACCGGAGUGGACACACCUCUGGUGUACCUGUUGUCACGCCAGUGGCAUCGCAGGGUAGCUAAGUGUGGAAGAGAUAACCGCUGAAAGCAUCUAAGCGGGAAACUUGCCUGAAGAUGAGAUCUCCCUGGGGACUCGAUCCCCCUGAAGGGUCGUCCAAGACCAGGACGUUGAUAGGCCGGGUGUGGAAGCGCAGUAAUGCGUGCAGCUAACCGGUACUAAUUGCCCGUGAGGCUUGACCCU
This 303-nucleotide ribosomal RNA is filed under the name human oral metagenome. Its description in RNAcentral is "bacterial LSU rRNA". It matches the Rfam family "Bacterial large subunit ribosomal RNA", at positions 2628 to 2925 of the family's 2925-position model. The record is from RNAcentral.